GGAGCAUCCAUGAGUAAAGUGGCGUACGGGUGAGUAACACGUGGAUCAUCUACCUUCUAGUGGGGAAUACCGUUGGGAAACCGACGACAAUACCGCAUAAGCUCGAGAGAGGAAAGCCGCAAGGCGCUGGAAGAGGAGUCCGCGGCUGAUUAGCUAGUUGGUGAGGUAAUGGCUCACCAAGGCUCAGAUCAGUAGCCGGCCUGAGAGGGCACACGGCCACACUGGCACUGAAACACGGGCCAGACUCCUACGGGAGGCAGCAGUGGGGAAUCUUGCACAAUGGGGGAAACCCUGAUGCAGCGACGCCGCGUGAGCGAUGAAGCCCUUCGGGGUGUAAAGCUCUUUCGGCAGGGAAGAUUAUGACGGUACCUGCAGAAGCAGCUGCGGCUAACUACGUGCCAGCAGCCGCGGUAAUACGUAGGCAGCAAGCGUUGUUCGGAGUUACUGGGCGUAAAGGGUGUGUAGGCGGUUGGAUAAGAGUGGUGUGAAAUCUCCCGGCUUAACUGGGAGGGUGCGCUACAGACUGUCUGACUAGAGUGUGGGAUGGGAGAGUGGAAUUCCUGGUGUAGCGGUGAAAUGCGUAGAUAUCAGGAGGAACACCGGUGGUGUAGACGGCUCUCUGGACCAUAACUGACGCUGAGACACGAAAGCGUGGGUAGCAAACAGGAUUAGAUACCCUGGUAGUCCACGCCCUAAACGAUG
This 702-nucleotide ribosomal RNA is filed under the name uncultured bacterium. Its description in RNAcentral is "bacterial SSU rRNA". It matches the Rfam family "Bacterial small subunit ribosomal RNA", at positions 76 to 811 of the family's 1533-position model. The record is from RNAcentral.